Molecule: ribosomal RNA, 882 nt
Filed under: uncultured bacterium
Lineage: Bacteria
Description: bacterial SSU rRNA
Rfam family: Bacterial small subunit ribosomal RNA
Source: RNAcentral
AGAGUUUGAUCAUGGCUCAGAAGGAACGCUGGCAGCGUGCAUAACACAUGCAAGUCGAACGGUAGUAUUAUCUUCGGAUAAUAUGAGAGUGGCGAACGGGUGAGUAACACGUAAGAAUCUACCUUUAGGACGGGGAUAACUUCUGGAAACGGAUGCUAAUACCCGAUAUGCUGUGGAGUGAAAUGAAUUUCGCCUAAAGAUGAUCUUGCGUCUGAUUAGCUAGAUAGGGUGGUAAUGGCGCCCUAUGGCGACGAUCAGUAGCUGGUCUGAGAGGAUGGACAGCCACAUUGGGACUGAGACACGGCCCAAACUCCUACGGGAGGCAGCAGUGGGGAAUUUUCCGCAAUGGGCGAAAGCCUGACGGAGCGACGCUGCGUGAAGGAUGACGGCCUGAGGGUUGUAAACUUCUUUUCUCGAAGAAGAAUCAAUGACGGUAUUCGAGGAAUAAGCAUCGGCUAACUCUGUGCCAGCAGCCGCGGUAAGACAGAGGAUGCAAGUGUUAUUCGGAUUGAUUGGGCGUAAAGCGUCUGUAGGCGGUUUAGAAAGUCUUUUGUGAAAUACUUCAGCUCAACUGGGGCUCCGCAAAAGAAACUUCUAGACUUGAGGGAAGUAGAGGUACAGGGAAUUUCCGGUGGAGCGGUGAAAUGCGUAGAUAUCGGAAGGAACACCAAUAUGGCGAAGGCACUGUACUGGGCUUUACCUGACGCUAAGAGACGAAAGCUAAAGGAGUGAUUAGGAUUAGAUACCCUAGUAAUUUUAGCCGUAAACGAUGGAAACUCACUGCCGAGCCGGUAUUCGGAGCGGUGGUCAAGCUAACGCGUGAAGUUUCCCGCCUGGGGAUUACGCAUGCAAAUGUGAAACUCAAGGAAUUGACGGGGACCC